RNAcentral lists this ribosomal RNA (505 nucleotides) under uncultured bacterium. RNAcentral's name for it is "bacterial SSU rRNA". It matches the Rfam family "Bacterial small subunit ribosomal RNA", at positions 15 to 518 of the family's 1533-position model. The record is from RNAcentral.
GAUCAUGGCUCAGGACGAACGCUGGCGGUAUGCUUAACACAUGCAAGUCGAACGAGACGAGAUGGAAGGAUCCUUCGGGUGACGGAAAUCUUAGAAAGUGGCGAACGGGUGAGUAACGCGUGGGUAACCUGCCCUAUGGAAAGGAAUAGCCUCGGGAAACUGGGAGUAAUGCCUUAUAAUACAUUGAAGUCGCAUGGCUUUGAUGUUAAACGCUCCGGUGCCAUAGGAUGGACCCGCGUCCCAUUAGCUAGUUGGUGAGAUAACAGCCCACCAAGGCGACGAUGGGUAACCGGUCUGAGAGGGCGAACGGUCACACUGGAACUGAGACACGGUCCAGACUCCUACGGGAGGCAGCAGUGGGGAAUAUUGCGCAAAUGGGGGAAACCCUGACGCAGCAAUACCGCGUGAGUGAAGAAGGUUUUCGGAUCGUAAAGCUCUGUUAUUGGGGAAGAAAAAAGACGGUACCCAAGAAGAAAGUCCCGGCUAACUACGUGCCAGCCGCAGC